This 234-nucleotide non-coding RNA is filed under the name Pseudolabrys sp. Root1462. RNAcentral also lists the same sequence under 1 other name. The record is from RNAcentral. Lineage: Bacteria; Pseudomonadati; Pseudomonadota; Alphaproteobacteria; Hyphomicrobiales; Xanthobacteraceae.
GCCAUAUAUGGGCGUCACGGUCUUUUCGUUUCUACAUGUUGUAGCGAUGAAGGGCUAAGAGGGAAUCCGGUGCGUCCUUAGGGAUUAAGCCGGGGCUGCCCCCGCAACUGUAAGCGGCGAGCGCUUGACACAUGACCUUCGGUCAUGAAGCCACUGAGGCCUUCGCGCCUCGGGAAGGCAUGUCGAUCGCAGCGACCCGCGAGCCAGGAGACCUGCCGUGACCGCUGAAAUCGU